Molecule: unclassified non-coding RNA, 372 nt
Filed under: uncultured bacterium
Lineage: Bacteria
Description: contains 16S-23S intergenic spacer region
Source: RNAcentral
UCCGAGUUGACCCCGGCAGUCUCCUGCGAGUCCCCGCCAUUACGCGCUGGCAACACAGGACAAGGGUUGCGCUCGUUGCGGGACUUAACCCAACAUCUCGCGACACGAGCUGGCGACAGCCAUGCACCACCUGUGCAGGACGCCGAAGCACACCGUGUUUCCACGGCUUUUCCCUGCAUGUCAAGCCCAGGUAAGGUUCUUCGCGUUGCUUCGAAUUAAGCCACAUGCUCCACCGCUUGUGCGGGCCCCCGUCAAUUCCUUUGAGUUUCAUUCUUGCGAACGUACUCCCCAGGUGGUGUGCUUACUGCGUUAACUGCGUCACGGACCCGGAAGGGCCCACAACUAGCACACAUCGUUUACAGCGUGGACUAC